This 70-nucleotide transfer RNA is filed under the name Pontibacter rufus. RNAcentral describes it as "tRNA-His". It matches the Rfam family "tRNA". Rfam says of the family: Transfer RNA (tRNA) molecules are approximately 80 nucleotides in length. Their secondary structure includes four short double-helical elements and three loops (D, anti-codon, and T loops). The record is from RNAcentral. Lineage: Bacteria; Pseudomonadati; Bacteroidota; Cytophagia; Cytophagales; Hymenobacteraceae.
AUUAGCUCAGCUGGUUAGAGCGUCCCGAAUGCUUUCGGGAAGGUCAUCGGUUCGACUCCGAUAUUCUCCA